RNAcentral lists this long non-coding RNA (880 nucleotides) under Apteryx rowi (Okarito brown kiwi). RNAcentral describes it as "lncRNA (ENSARWG00000014965.1)". Lineage: Eukaryota; Metazoa; Chordata; Aves; Apterygiformes; Apterygidae. The record is from RNAcentral.
CGAUACUUGGUAUCACUGUCUCUGCCCUGCAAUCAAGUUGAAACCCUAAAUGCAAAACACAAGCCCCCAGAAGCUCUACUGCAACCCUCUUCAAGUGGCUGGAGGCUGCAGCGUAGAGUAGCUUUCCUCGGGCGGAUUUUUCCUUGGAUUUCCAAGGGACUUUUUGUGUUUGGCAACCAGACAGUAUCAGCUGCCUUGUGUGCUAUCCAUCAGCAAGUAUGGAUGGAAUUUCUUGUUUCUCUUUUUUUAUUGCUCUUGUACACUGAUCUAAUCCUUUCAACGACUUUUUCCGCAAUAAACUUUUAAUACUUUUCCUCAUUGUUUCAUAGUUGAUAGUACUAUUUAACUUCCACUCCCUACUGUAGUUCCCUGCUUUCGCAUUAAAUUAGUUUACAAUUGUUUACCCUGGCCUGAUUUUGACGGCUGCUGGAUGAAUUACCUGAAUGAUCAAAAUCUUCCUGAAGCUCAGGGCAUUGUUUUCUUUGUUUGCUUUUCUCCAAACUUAGUAUCAGCAGACUUGAAGAAUUUGUAACCAAUUACUGGAUUUAUAAAUUUAGAUCAUGUUUUAUUUAGGAUUUUUUUUUUUAAGGAAAAGUUACUGAACAGUGCUUAAAAUUGAUGCUAUAACAUUGUUAACAGUUGAUUGAUCUACAUUUGCACUAUGCUACCACUGAGCUAAUUAACUAGAGAUUAAAUAAUGUGACAACUUGCUUUAGUUGAGUUGUUUAGUUUCAGGCUUCAUGAAUUCCAGUAAAACUCUAGAAGAGGACUGCUCCCAGCCACCCGGGAGCUGUACUUUAGGAGCCCUGCUUGGCACAUUAGGUGUAGGGAGAAGAUCAAGUCCAGUUGUUUCUGAGCAAGACUUCACCUUGCAAUGGUG